GUGAGACACACUGCGUAAAUAAGUGCAAGAGUUACGUUGAAACACCGGGCACGCGACGCGACCGCGUGCGCACCCCCCUUCCGUUUCAAAACAUUGGCGGUCCGUUCCCCAUUUUUUUUUGUUUUCGACCUGUUUUUGCGAUAGGUCAACUUUGAACUGAAGUUUAUGUCAAAACGAUUUGGUU
Molecule: non-coding RNA, 184 nt
Organism: Caenorhabditis elegans
Lineage: Eukaryota; Metazoa; Nematoda; Chromadorea; Rhabditida; Rhabditidae
Source: Ensembl